This 429-nucleotide ribosomal RNA is filed under the name bacterium. RNAcentral describes it as "partial 16S ribosomal RNA". It matches the Rfam family "Bacterial small subunit ribosomal RNA", at positions 355 to 776 of the family's 1533-position model. The record is from RNAcentral.
UAGGGAAUCUUCCACAAUGGACGCAAGUCUGAUGGAGCAACGCCGCGUGAGUGAAGAAGGUUUUCGGAUCGUAAAGCUCUGUUGUUGGUGAAGAAGGAUAGAGGUAGUAACUGGCCUUUAUUUGACGGUAAUCAACCAGAAAGUCACGGCUAACUACGUGCCAGCAGCCGCGGUAAUACGCAGGUGGCAAGCGUUGUCCGGAUUUAUUGGGCGUAAAGCGAGCGCAGGCGGAAGAAUAAGUCUGAUGUGAAAGCCCUCGGCUUAACCGAGGAACUGCAUCGGAAACUGUUUUUCUUGAGUGCAGAAGAGGAGAGUGGAACUCCAUGUGUAGCGGUGGAAUGCGUAGAUAUAUGGAAGAACACCAGUGGCGAAGGCGACUCUCUGGUCUGCAACUGACGCUGAGGCUCGAAAGCAUGGGUAGCGAACAGG